CGGACGGGUGAGUAAUGUCUGGGAAACUGCCCGAUGAGGGGGGAUAACUACUGGAAACGGUAGCUAAUACCGCAUAACGUCGCAAGACCAAAGAGGGGGACCUUCGGGCCUCUUGCCAUCGGAUGUGCCCAGAUGGGAUUAGCUAGUAGGUGGGGUAACGGCUCACCUAGGCGACGAUCCCUAGCUGGUCUGAGAGGAUGACCAGCCACACUGGAACUGAGACACGGUCCAG
Molecule: ribosomal RNA, 232 nt
Filed under: uncultured bacterium
Lineage: Bacteria
Description: partial 16S ribosomal RNA
Rfam family: Bacterial small subunit ribosomal RNA
Source: RNAcentral